GCAACAGAAUUGAGUGUGAGACCUCUUUCUAUACUUUACACAACUAUUUCACACAUAAUUUACAUGCUUUAUUUCCAAUUUUGCUUAGUUUUGAGCCUUGACGGUAAGCAUUGAAACAGAGGCUCAGCUUGAGCUAAAUAUAAAGAGAAAACAUGAGAAAGUCAAAUUUUACACUUGGAUUUGAGUCUGCUACCAAGUUUGUCUUGCGAAUAGAAAGGAAAAAAUUUAGACUAGCAUUUUCCAUUGUCCGCUACCCAGGAAGCUGAUCUCUUUGGCAACAUCAGAGAAAACCCAGUUUGAGAUCUGUUCCCAAAUGCCAACUUUACCAUAAUUUCAC
Molecule: unclassified non-coding RNA, 337 nt
Filed under: Hevea brasiliensis (rubber tree)
Lineage: Eukaryota; Viridiplantae; Streptophyta; Magnoliopsida; Malpighiales; Euphorbiaceae
Source: RNAcentral